RNAcentral lists this ribosomal RNA (415 nucleotides) under Metschnikowia reukaufii. RNAcentral's name for it is "partial large subunit ribosomal RNA". It matches the Rfam family "Eukaryotic large subunit ribosomal RNA", at positions 146 to 510 of the family's 3401-position model. The record is from RNAcentral. Lineage: Eukaryota; Fungi; Ascomycota; Pichiomycetes; Serinales; Metschnikowiaceae.
UAUUUUGAAGGUGGGUUUGGUUAGGAAAAGUUACUUUAAGUCCAUUGGAAAAUGGCGCCAUGGAGGGUGAUAGCCCCGUAAAAGUAUCCCUUUUCCUUUUAUCCAUUCCCUCCAAAGAGUCGAGUUGUUUGGGAAUGCAGCUCUAAGUGGGUGGUAAAUUCCAUCUAAAGCUAAAUAUUGGCGAGAGACCGAUAGCGAACAAGUACAGUGAUGGAAAGAUGAAAAGCACUUUGAAAAGAGAGUGAAAAAGUACGUGAAAUUGUUGAAAGGGAAGGGCUUGCAAGCAGACACAACCUCGGUUGGGCCAGCAUCGGAGUGGGGGGAGACAAAAAAGAAAAGGAAUGUAACUCCUUCGAGUAUUAUAGCCUUUUUCUCAUAUCUCCACCCCCUUCCGAGGCCUGCGAUCUCAAGGAUG